UACAGAGGUCUCAAGCGUUGUUCGGAUUCAUUGGGCGUAAAGGGUGCGUAGGUGGCGGGGUAAGUCAGGUGUGAAAUCUCGAGGCUCAACCUCGAAACUGCACUUGAUACUGCCUUGCUUGAGUACUGGAGAGGAGAUUGGAAUUUACGGUGUAGCAGUGAAAUGCGUAGAUAUCGUAAGGAAGACCAGUGGCGAAGGCGGGUCUCUGGACAGUUCCUGACACUGAGGCACGAAGGCCAGGGGAGCAAACGGG
This 253-nucleotide ribosomal RNA is filed under the name uncultured bacterium. RNAcentral describes it as "partial 16S ribosomal RNA". It matches the Rfam family "Bacterial small subunit ribosomal RNA", at positions 524 to 776 of the family's 1533-position model. The record is from RNAcentral.